UCUCCUCAGAUCAGAAGGUGAUUGUGGCUUUGAGUAAUAAUUUAGCAGCCACAGCACUGCCUGGUCAGAG
This 70-nucleotide microRNA precursor is filed under the name Zonotrichia leucophrys (white-crowned sparrow). RNAcentral describes it as "microRNA 383". It matches the Rfam family "mir-383 microRNA precursor family". Lineage: Eukaryota; Metazoa; Chordata; Aves; Passeriformes; Passerellidae. The record is from RNAcentral.